Molecule: ribosomal RNA, 253 nt
Filed under: uncultured bacterium
Lineage: Bacteria
Description: partial 16S ribosomal RNA
Rfam family: Bacterial small subunit ribosomal RNA
Source: RNAcentral
UACGAAGGGGGCUAGCGUUGCUCGGAAUCACUGGGCGUAAAGCGCACGUAGGCGGAUCUUUAAGUCAGAGGUGAAAUCCCAAGGCUCAACCUUGGAACUGCCUUUGAUACUGGGGAUCUCGAGUCCGGAAGAGGUGAGUGGAACUGCGAGUGUAGAGGUGAAAUUCGUAGAUAUUGGGAGGAACACCAGUGGCGAAGGCGGCUACCUGGACCGGUUCUGACGCUGAGGCGCGAAAGCGUGGGUAGCAAACAGG